This 184-nucleotide unclassified non-coding RNA is filed under the name uncultured Russula. RNAcentral describes it as "sequence contains ITS1". The record is from RNAcentral. Lineage: Eukaryota; Fungi; Basidiomycota; Agaricomycetes; Russulales; Russulaceae.
UCGUACAACCGAGGUGCGAAGGCUGUCGCUGACCCUCAAAGGUCGUGCACGCCCGAGCGCUCUCACACAAUCCAUCUCACCUUUGUGCAUCACCGCGUGGGUCCCCUUUGCGGGAGGGCUUGCGUUUUCACAUAAAACUCGAUACAGUGUAGAAUGUUUCUUUUGCGGUCACACGCAAUCAAUA